GCGCGUAGGCGGUUCAUCAAGUCUGGGGUGAAAUCUUUCGGCUUAACCGGAAAAGUGCCUGGGAUACUGAUGAACUGGAGGGAGAUAGGGGCAGCUGGAACUUCCGGUGGAGCGGUGAAAUGCGUUGAUAUCGGAAGGAACUCCGGUGGCGAAAGCGAGCUGCUGGAUCUCUACUGACGCUGAGGCGCGAAAGCCAGGGGAGCAAACGGGAUUAGAUACCCCGGUAGUCCUGGCCCUAAACGAUGGGUACUAGGUUGUGGACUUAACAUGGGUUCACAGCCGAAGCAAAAGUGUUUAGUACCCCGCCUGGGGAGUAUGGUCGCAAGGCUGAAACUCAAAGGAAUUGACGGGGGCUCACACAAGCGGUGGAGCAUGUGGCUCAAUUCGAGGCUACGCGAAGAACCUUAUCCUGGACUUGACAUGUGCGAAAGCGC
RNAcentral lists this ribosomal RNA (434 nucleotides) under uncultured bacterium. Its description in RNAcentral is "bacterial SSU rRNA". It matches the Rfam family "Bacterial small subunit ribosomal RNA", at positions 567 to 999 of the family's 1533-position model. The record is from RNAcentral.